GAAAUGCGAUAAGUAAUGUGAAUUGCAGAAUUCCGUGAAUCAUCGAAUCUUUGAACGCACAUUGCGCCCUCUGUCAUUCCGGGGGGCAUGCCUGUCCGAGCGUCAUUACGCACCCUCAAGCCCGGCUUGUGUGAUGGGCCCCGGCGUCUCGUUCGCGAGACGGGCCCGAAAGGCAGCGGCGGCGUCGACCCGAUGAGCCCGAGCGUAUGGGGACUUCUGUCACACGUUCGCGGUGCGGACCGGCGCCUGCUUUGACUUUUCUGAUUAUCCAGGUUGACCUCGGAUCAGGUAGGGAUACCCGCUGAACUUAAGC
RNAcentral lists this unclassified non-coding RNA (313 nucleotides) under plant metagenome. RNAcentral describes it as "partial contains 5.8S ribosomal RNA, internal transcribed spacer 2, and large subunit ribosomal RNA". The stretch from base 1 to 105 matches the Rfam family "5.8S ribosomal RNA", at positions 50 to 154 of the family's 154-position model. The record is from RNAcentral.